UGGAGGAAAGCAGGGGAUCGUAAGACCUUGCGCUUUUGGAGCGGCCGAUGUCUGAUUAGCUAGUUGGUGGGGUAAUGGCCUACCAAAGCUUCGAUCAGUAGCUGGUCUGAGAGGACGGCCAGCCACACUGGGACUGAGACACGGCCCAGACUCCUACGGGAGGCAGCAGUGGGGAAUUUUGGACAAUGGGCGCAAGCCUGAUCCAGCCAUGCCGCGUGAGUGGAGAAGGCCUUCGGGUUGUAAAGCUCUUUCAGCCGGGAAGAAAAGGCUGCGAUUAAUAAUCGCAGUUCAUGACGGUACCGGAAGAAGAAGCACCGGCUAACUACGUGCCAGCAGCCGCGGUAAUACGUAGGGUGCGAGCGUUAAUCGGAAUUACUGGGCGUAAAGGGUGCGCAGGCGGUUUUGUAAGUCAGAUGUGA
Molecule: ribosomal RNA, 419 nt
Filed under: uncultured ammonia-oxidizing beta proteobacterium
Lineage: Bacteria; Pseudomonadati; Pseudomonadota; Betaproteobacteria
Description: bacterial SSU rRNA
Rfam family: Bacterial small subunit ribosomal RNA
Source: RNAcentral